UCGUUUCCGUCUUUCUUCUUGUUCCAGUGGUGAAAUUGAAUGUUUCGACUUUCGAUCCAUGUGGUGUAAAGCAGGAUCAAAUCUCUAAAGUAAGACCACCAUUAAUGGGCAGCCUUCUCCUUCAUCAUCAUCUGUAUCUUCUCCAAAGGAAACUCAGGGAUUUUUAGUUAUAGCUUGAAGGAGAGAAUUAUCCCUUGGUGCUCUAUCAUCAUAAUUUUAGUCUCAAAGGGUCUGAUUAAGGAUUUUUUUUCUUCUCUGGCAUCACUUUCAGGAGUGACAAAUGAGUCAAGUUCGGAAAAGUUCUUGAAGCUGUAUAACCAAGAAGCUCCUGAACUAAUGAAGGUAUUCCAAGGUUAUUUGAAUCACGAAGAGCUACUUCUGAAAUGAGGAUUUGACGAGAUGCUAAUGUAGUGGGCUGGCUUUUGAAGAUGAACUUCUGUUUUUCUUUUUUCUUCCUAUUCAUGGGACCUAAACUGUACUAGUCAAUCAAAUGGCAGAAGAUCAAGUGAAAUUUUAGAACCACGGGUAUGUACAUCCUCUCACUUGACAACCUGUAGCGGAUAGGUAACGUUCUAGUUGGGUAAAAUAUAGUGAUAGAGCUCAUGGUGCUGUCGUUAAGCAUGCUUGAAUUUCUGUUCAUGCUUAGUAGACUCACCGAUGCAUGUCUUCCGUGACUGCGUCAACAUCUGAAUCAUGAGACAGCAUCUGCUCACGGAGGUAGUGGAAUUAGGGGUCCAUAUUAAGCUAAAUGUUCCAUAUGGUAUGUUGAGUUACUGUCAGAAGCUUUGGUACAGAGCAUCACUGAAUUAGAUAGAGCAUAAAUAUCAAUGAGAGCAUUUUGCGCGCGAUCGCACUUAAAGAAAUAAAUAAGGUUCUUCGUUCUGUUUCCCGCUUUCUUCUAUUUCUUGUUCUUGUGGUAGAAGCUGAAAAUGUUUCGAUUCUCACAAGCUCAAAAGGACCACCACCACCAUAAAUGGGCAACUUUCAGCAUCAGCAGCAGCAAGUCGGCAUAUUCUCUUUACAUUUCAAAAUCCGAGUAUUCUCAUUGAAGCUAGGGGUUAGUUCCAUGAUUUGUUCCUUUCUCUACUAGUAAUAAUGUCAGGUCAUCUUCUUCUGAUUCAUUUAUUUGAUUAAUUCAUGUGGAUUAUCUGAAAACGAAGCUAUUAAUGUCUCUCAAAAAGUCGAAUCCAGAAUCCCACAUCCCAACCCAGCUUCAGUUUUAACAUUAUUUGAAAACUAUGAGUUCACUAAACCCCCGCAUUUCAAAACUCAUCACUAAGCUAGCAUCCUUCAUUUCUGGUAUCUGAAAAAAUGAUGGAGUUGGUAUGGAGAUCUAAGUCAAAGAGCAUUUAGGAAAGGUCCCCAUUGUAUGAAGGCUUCUGAAAAGAAGACUACCAUAAUUAUGGAUUUUCUAAUGAAUGAAAUGCGUUAUGAUUCAUUGAGCAUCACAGAAGACUCAGUGAUUUUCAUUUAUAUCUUGAAGGAGGGGAUUAUCCCUAGGGGCACUUUUAUCAGAAUUUUAGUCUCAAAUGGUCUGAUCGAGGAAAAUAUUUCACUUUUCAGAAAAGUUUGUGAAGCUGUAUGAGCAAGAAGCUCCUGCAUUAAUGAAGGUCUUCCAUGGUCAGUUGAAUUAGGUCGAGCUACUUCAGGAAUUAAGGAUUUGGUGAGAUGAUUAUGGCCAUACGGAAGUGGAUCACUGAUUCUAGGAGACGUAUUCUAUUAUUUGCACCACCAAAUGGAGUGGUUAGUCUUUUCUGAAGAGUAUUUUCCAUUCACACAUCAACUGGAGGGAACUUUGAAAGCCAUAAUAAUGGCCUUGAUGGAGAAAUGAUGUUUUUCUUUUAGAUGUUCAUGGGACCUUAACAGAGGUUGAAUCAAAUGACGGAAGAUGGGAGUAAAAGUUUAGAAGCUAUGGGAAUGUUCAUCCUCUCACUUGACAACGUGUAUCUAAGUUGGAUGUGUCGAAAUCAGAACAUGAGCAGCUAUCUCUGCCCAAGGAGGUGAUGGAAAUUGGGGUCUAUAUUGUCAUUUUAAAAACAAUUCUCUCAUUGUAAAGGAGAUGGCAUUUACUGAUGAGUGAUGUGAUGUCUUAAAUGACGAUUGGGACCAAUUUCUAGCCAUCUUGAUUCACCACAAGGCAAAUGUUGGCAGGCAGAAGCACCUUCUUGGUAGUUUCCCACUUACUACCCAUAACACAAUGAAGUUUCUACAGGUGAUGAUUCUCUCCAUGUCCCUCUCACUUCUUCUGCUUCCGUUACUUGUUGCUGAAUCCUCGUCUAGUUCUCCAUCUGAAGUUGAUCAUCAUGGCAGUUCAUCUAUUUCUCCAUCUGGAGUUGAUCAUCAUGGCAGUUCAUCUAUUUCUCCAUCUGGAGUUGAUCAUCAUGGGAGUUCAUCUAUUUCCCCAUCUGGAGUUGAUGGAGUUGAUCAUCACGAUAGUUCGUCUAUUUCUUCAUCUGGAGCUGAUCAUCAUGGCACUUCGUCUAUUUCUCCAUCUGGAGUUGAUCAUCAUAUGAGUCUACUUGACAUAUUUCUAGUCGCACUAAUGGCAUUUCUUGGUCUUGUUGGGCUUUGCUUACUUCUGAUGCUCUGCUUUCCUUGCUGCUGUGUUUGUUGCGCUAUGGUCGCUGUGAUUUGCUCAUUUCUAAUUCUGUUUGGCACAUAUGAGUAUACCUGAGAAAUGCCCAAUCGCAGUAUCCUUUAGAAGAUAUACAUAUUGAAGAUUUAGAUCGUGUGGUAGGAUUUUAAUUCAUCAAUUUAUGUUUUCUGAUUGAAAGGUCUUUUCACUCUUUGUAAGAGUUUAUCUUCCUCAAGUCUAUUGGAAUUACGAAAUUUAUAUAUUCCAUGUUGGGUAAAUGCACUAUCUUAUAGUUAUUCGU
Molecule: RNA transcript, 2876 nt
Organism: Papaver somniferum (opium poppy)
Lineage: Eukaryota; Viridiplantae; Streptophyta; Magnoliopsida; Ranunculales; Papaveraceae
Exons: 7
Source: RefSeq, a predicted model, not a curated record